UACGAAGGGUGCAAGCGUUAAUCGGAAUUACUGGGCGUAAAGCGUGCGCAGGCGGUUUCUUAAGUCAGAUGUGAAAGCCCCGGGCUUAACCUGGGAACUGCGUUUGAAACUGGGAGACUUGAGUGUGGCAGAGGGGGGUGGAAUUCCACGUGUAGCAGUGAAAUGCGUAGAUAUGUGGAGGAACACCGAUGGCGAAGGCAGCCCCCUGGGUUAACACUGACGCUCAUGCACGAAAGCGUGGGGAGCAAACAGG
RNAcentral lists this ribosomal RNA (253 nucleotides) under uncultured bacterium. Its description in RNAcentral is "partial 16S ribosomal RNA". It matches the Rfam family "Bacterial small subunit ribosomal RNA", at positions 524 to 776 of the family's 1533-position model. The record is from RNAcentral.